AACACAGACAGACAGAAAGACAGAGAGAUCGUGGCAUGCAUGCAUGUACCCAUGGAAGCCAAAAGAGGGAGGCAAAGCCCCUGGGACUGCAGUUACAGGCAAUUUUAGCUGCCUGUGGUGGGAGCUGGGUGGCUGUUCCCCUCCCCUUAUCCCUCCUGCUUCUCUUGCCCCAUGCUGCUCUUCCUCCUCCUUUCCCUCCUCCUCCUUCUCCUCUUCUUUGGAGACAGGGUAUCCCGUGGCUCAGAAUCGAAUGGAACUCUCUGCAUUCUGGGGAUAACCUUGAACUCCUGUUAACCUUAGCUCCAUGUCCUGAGUUCUGGGUCGAGGAUCACAGAUGUGCACCACCAUGCCCGGCUGAUAUGUUGCUGCGGAUUGAACUCAGACCCUAGUGCAUGUCAGAAGAGGGCAUCAGAUUCCCCUGGAACUAGAUCUGUGGACGGCUGACAGCUGUGGGUGCUGGCAGCAGAAUCUGGGUCCUCUGGAACAGGAACCAGUGAUCUUACCUGGAGAGCCGUCAUUUCAGCCCCUGCUUCUCACUUUCAUAAUGGAGACUUCUCAUCAUUAUCAAGAUACCUCUGGUUGUCAGUUCAUGGCUGAAAAACCAUCACAAAGUUUUGGUCAUCCGUUGCAAGAACACGAGAUGGGGUUCUGAAUGUGACAAGUGUUGAUCUGGUUGCUCCAGAGAAGUGUUUGUCAUUCAGUACAGUGGCUGAACCUUUAGCAAUUGUGGUUCCAACUGGAAAUGACAAGUCCACAGCUAUCAGCAGCAGUUCGACCGCACAGGCUGCAGCCAGGUGGGAAUUCUGUUUCCUCGGACACUGGCUCCUAUCAAGGUCACUAAAGGAAACUUUAUUUAAAUUUCCAUCCUUUUAUAGAACUUGGGAUUCAAAGUUUGAGUGUUGUGGGAUAGUCAUUUUUGUACACUGAAAAUGUGCUGCUCUCUUGUUAAUCAAAAGCCGAUUGACCAAAAGCUAGACAGCAUUUGGGGGGCAGAAAGAAUCCCAACACACAGAGAAAUUCCACCUGCAAAUGGCCCUGACUGUGAUUUCAUAAAUAUUAUCAAAUGUUUAUUUCUGAUGUUCUCUACAGACGUAUAAUACAAAUGGUCUUCUUGUAGUCCUAGUUCAAUUAGCUCUUAGAGCUGGUGUUGGAGUUGGAGUGAGGAUCUCUCAUUUUUUAAACCCAAGCAUGCUUGUUAAGGAAAAUACAAAUUCCCUGUCUCAUGUCAGAAGAGCCACCUGAUAGGGGAUAGAAAAAAACAGAAACAAAAUUAAGGGACUAUUCUGCUGCCAAUGAUCUCAUAUUUAAGAUAAUAAAGAAAUGGAGGCUA
Mesocricetus auratus (golden hamster) is the source of this 1330-nucleotide long non-coding RNA. RefSeq lists it as uncharacterized. The record is from RefSeq and is a predicted model, not a curated record. The transcript has 2 exons. NCBI's taxonomy places the organism in Eukaryota, Metazoa, Chordata, Mammalia, Rodentia, Cricetidae.